RNAcentral lists this ribosomal RNA (246 nucleotides) under uncultured Pseudomonas sp. RNAcentral's name for it is "partial 16S ribosomal RNA". It matches the Rfam family "Bacterial small subunit ribosomal RNA", at positions 1136 to 1382 of the family's 1533-position model. Lineage: Bacteria; Pseudomonadati; Pseudomonadota; Gammaproteobacteria; Pseudomonadales; Pseudomonadaceae. The record is from RNAcentral.
CACUCUAAGGAGACUGCCGGUGACAAACCGGAGGAAGGUGGGAUGACGUCAAGUCAUCAUGGCCCUUACGGCCUGGGCUACACACGUGCUACAAUGGUCGGUACAAAGGGUUGCCAAGCCGCGAGGUGGAGCUAAUCCCAUAAAACCGAUCGUAGUCCGGAUCGCAGUCUGCAACUCGACUGCGUGAAGUCGGAAUCGCUAGUAAUCGUGAAUCAGAAUGUCACGGUGAAUACGUUCCCGGGCCUU